This 500-nucleotide ribosomal RNA is filed under the name uncultured bacterium. RNAcentral's name for it is "partial 16S ribosomal RNA". It matches the Rfam family "Bacterial small subunit ribosomal RNA", at positions 30 to 523 of the family's 1533-position model. The record is from RNAcentral.
AUUGAACGCUGGCGGAAUGCUUUACACAUGCAAGUCGUACGGCAGCACGGACUUCGGUCUGGUGGCGAGUGGCGAACGGGUGAGUAACAUAUCGGAACGUAUCCAAUAAUGGGGGAUAACGAGUCGAAAGAUUCGCUAAUACCGCAUACGCCCUACGGGGGAAAGCUGGGGACCUUCGGGCCUGGCGUUAAUGGAGCGGCCGAUAUCUGAUUAGCUAGUUGGUGAGGUAAAGGCUCACCAAGGCGACGAUCAGUAGCUGGUCUGAGAGGACGACCAGCCACACUGGAACUGAGACACGGUCCAGACUCCUACGGGAGGCAGCAGUGGGGAAUUUUGGACAAUGGGCGCAAGCCUGAUCCAGCCAUUCCGCGUGAGUGAAGAAGGCCUUCGGGUUGUAAAGCUCUUUCGCAAGGGAAGAAAACUUAGCCACUAACAUUGGUUGAGGUUGACGGUACCUUGAUAAGAAGCACCGGCUAACUACGUGACAGCCGCCGCCGUAA